Molecule: ribosomal RNA, 1093 nt
Filed under: Escherichia coli
Lineage: Bacteria; Pseudomonadati; Pseudomonadota; Gammaproteobacteria; Enterobacterales; Enterobacteriaceae
Description: partial 23S ribosomal RNA
Rfam family: Bacterial large subunit ribosomal RNA
Source: RNAcentral
UUAAGUGGGAAACGAUGUGGGAAGGCCCAGACAGCCAGGAUGUUGGCUUAGAAGCAGCCAUCAUUUAAAGAAAGCGUAAUAGCUCACUGGUCGAGUCGGCCUGCGCGGAAGAUGUAACGGGGCUAAACCAUGCACCGAAGCUGCGGCAGCGACGCUUAUGCGUUGUUGGGUAGGGGAGCGUUCUGUAAGCCUGUGAAGGUGUGCUGUGAGGCAUGCUGGAGGUAUCAGAAGUGCGAAUGCUGACAUAAGUAACGAUAAAGCGGGUGAAAAGCCCGCUCGCCGGAAGACCAAGGGUUCCUGUCCAACGUUAAUCGGGGCAGGGUGAGUCGACCCCUAAGGCGAGGCCGAAAGGCGUAGUCGAUGGGAAACAGGUUAAUAUUCCUGUACUUGGUGUUACUGCGAAGGGGGGACGGAGAAGGCUAUGUUGGCCGGGCGACGGUUGUCCCGGUUUAAGCGUGUAGGCUGGUUUUCCAGGCAAAUCCGGAAAAUCAAGGCUGAGGCGUGAUGACGAGGCACUACGGUGCUGAAGCAACAAAUGCCCUGCUUCCAGGAAAAGCCUCUAAGCAUCAGGUAACAUCAAAUCGUACCCCAAACCGACACAGGUGGUCAGGUAGAGAAUACCAAGGCGCUUGAGAGAACUCGGGUGAAGGAACUAGGCAAAAUGGUGCCGUAACUUCGGGAGAAGGCACGCUGAUAUGUAGGUGAAGUCCCUCGCGGAUGGAGCUGAAAUCAGUCGAAGAUACCAGCUGGCUGCAACUGUUUAUUAAAAACACAGCACUGUGCAAACACGAAAGUGGACGUAUACGGUGUGACGCCUGCCCGGUGCCGGAAGGUUAAUUGAUGGGGUCAGCGCAAGCGAAGCUCUUGAUCGAAGCCCCGGUAAACGGCGGCCGUAACUAUAACGGUCCUAAGGUAGCGAAAUUCCUUGUCGGGUAAGUUCCGACCUGCACGAAUGGCGUAAUGAUGGCCAGGCUGUCUCCACCCGAGACUCAGUGAAAUUGAACUCGCUGUGAAGAUGCAGUGUACCCGCGGCAAGACGGAAAGACCCCGUGAACCUUUACUAUAGCUUGACACUGAACAUUGAGCCUUGAUG